Molecule: long non-coding RNA, 155 nt
Organism: Melozone crissalis (California towhee)
Lineage: Eukaryota; Metazoa; Chordata; Aves; Passeriformes; Passerellidae
Exons: 3
Source: RefSeq, a predicted model, not a curated record
AUGGCUACGUGCCCCGGGCUGUGAUGCUGCCUCUGGACACUGACAUCUAUGAUGACGUUGAGAUUUAUGGCUGAGCCAACCACGCUGAGGCCUGAGGCACAGGACAGCACCACAGAGACCCCAAGGGCUGAAACACGAAGAGCACCAGACACCAG